UUUUCACAAGAUGUCACCCUGGUAGCACCCGAUCUCAUCUGACAAUUGGAAGCUAAACAGGGUUGGAUGGUAACUAUCUGCAACCACAUGGUGGAGAC
Molecule: ribosomal RNA, 98 nt
Filed under: Oryzias melastigma (Indian medaka)
Lineage: Eukaryota; Metazoa; Chordata; Actinopteri; Beloniformes; Adrianichthyidae
Source: RNAcentral